CCUACGGGAUGCAGCAGUGGGGGAUAUUGCACAAUGGGGGGAACCCUGAUGCAGCGACGCCGCGUGGGUGAAGAAGCGCCUCGGCGCGUAAAGCCCUGUCAGCAGGGAAGAAAAUGACGGUACCUGAAGAAGAAGCCCCGGCUAACUACGUGCCAGCAGCCGCGGGAAUACGUAGGGGGCAAGCGUUAUCCGGAUUUACUGGGUGUAAAGGGGGCGAAGACGGCGAUGCAAGCCAGGAGUGAGAGCCCGGGGCCCAACCCCGGGACUGCUCUUGGAACUGCGUGGCUGGAGUGCAGGAGGGGCAGGCGGAAUUCCUGGUGUAGCGGUGAAAUGCGUAGAUAUCAGGAUGAACACCGGUGGCGAAGGCGGCCUGCUGGACUGCAACUGACGUUGAGGCCCGAAAGCGUGGGGAGCAAACAGGAUUAGAUACCCCAGUAGUC
Molecule: ribosomal RNA, 440 nt
Filed under: uncultured bacterium
Lineage: Bacteria
Description: partial 16S ribosomal RNA
Rfam family: Bacterial small subunit ribosomal RNA
Source: RNAcentral